GCCAUCCUUGGGAUACCACCCUUGUAGUACUGGGACUCUAACCAUAGGCCAUGAAUCUGGUCUUGGGACACUGUCAGGUGGGCAGUUUGACUGGGGCGGUCGCCUCCCAAAAGGUAACGGAGGCGCUCAAAGGUUCUCUCAGUACGGUCGGAAAUCGUACGUAGAGUGUAAAGGCAAAAGAGAGCUUGAUUGCAAGACAUACAGGUCGAGCAAGGAUGAAAAUCGGACUUAGUGAUCCGGUGGUUCUGCGUGGAAGGGCCAUCGCUCAACGGAUAAAAGCUACCCUGGGGAUAACAGGCUUAUCUCCCCCAAGAGUCCACAUCGACGGGGAGGUUUGGCACCUCGAUGUCGGCUCAUCACAUCCUGGGGCUGUAGUAGGUCCCAAGGGUUGGGCUGUUCGCCCAUUAACGUGGUACGCGAGCUGGGUUCAGAACGUCGUGAGACAGUUCGGUCCCUAUCCGUCGCAGGCGUAGGAAAUUUGAGAAGACCUGUCCUUAGUACGAGAGGACCUGGAUGGACGUACCUCUGGUGUACCAGUUGUCCUGUCAAGGGCAUGGCUGGGUAGCUAUGUCCGGAAUGGAUAAGCGCUGAAAGCAUCUAAGCGCGAAG
This 609-nucleotide ribosomal RNA is filed under the name Clostridioides difficile. RNAcentral describes it as "bacterial LSU rRNA". It matches the Rfam family "Bacterial large subunit ribosomal RNA", at positions 2185 to 2792 of the family's 2925-position model. The record is from RNAcentral. Lineage: Bacteria; Bacillati; Bacillota; Clostridia; Peptostreptococcales; Peptostreptococcaceae.